GACGAACGCUGGCGGCGUGCCUAAUACAUGCAAGUUGAGCGCUGAAGGUUGGUACUUGUACCAACUGGAUGAGCAGCGAACGGGUGAGUAACGCGUGGGGAAUCUGCCUUUGAGCGGGGGACAACAUUUGGAAACGAAUGCUAAUACCGCAUAAAAACUUUAAACACAAGUUUUAAGUUUGAAAGAUGCAAUUGCAUCACUCAAAGAUGAUCCCGCGUUGUAUUAGCUAGUUGGUGAGGUAAAGGCUCACCAAGGCGAUGAUACAUAGCCGACCUGAGAGGGUGAUCGGCCACAUUGGGACUGAGACACGGCCCAAACUCCUACGGGAGGCAGCAGUAGGGAAUCUUCGGCAAUGGACGAAAGUCUGACCGAGUAACGCCGCGUGAGUGAAGAAGGUUUUCGGAUCGUAAAACUCUGUUGGUAGAGAAGAACGUUGGUGAGAGUGGAAAGCUCAUCAAGUGACGGUAACUACCCAGAAAGGGACGGCUAACUACGUG
Molecule: ribosomal RNA, 497 nt
Filed under: uncultured bacterium
Lineage: Bacteria
Description: partial 16S ribosomal RNA
Rfam family: Bacterial small subunit ribosomal RNA
Source: RNAcentral